CAGCAGCCGCGGUAAUACAGAGGGUGCGAGCGUUAAUCGGAUUUACUGGGCGUAAAGCGUGCGUAGGCGGCUUCUUAAGUCGGAUGUGAAAUCCCUGAGCUUAACUUAGGAAUUGCAUUCGAUACUGGGAAGCUAGAGUAUGGGAGAGGAUGGUAGAAUUCCAGGUGUAGCGGUGAAAUGCGUAGAGAUCUGGAGGAAUACCGAUGGCGAAGGCAGCCAUCUGGCCUAACACUGACGCUGAGGUACGAAAGCAUGGGGAGCAAACAGGAUUAGAUACCCCUGUAGUCCCUGUCUCUUAUAC
This 301-nucleotide ribosomal RNA is filed under the name uncultured bacterium. RNAcentral describes it as "partial 16S ribosomal RNA". It matches the Rfam family "Bacterial small subunit ribosomal RNA", at positions 509 to 807 of the family's 1533-position model. The record is from RNAcentral.